RNAcentral lists this ribosomal RNA (468 nucleotides) under uncultured bacterium. RNAcentral's name for it is "partial 16S ribosomal RNA". It matches the Rfam family "Bacterial small subunit ribosomal RNA", at positions 28 to 507 of the family's 1533-position model. The record is from RNAcentral.
GACGAACGCUGGCGGCGUGCUUAACACAUGCAAGUCGAACGGAAAGGCCCUGCUUUUGUGGGGUGCUCGAGUGGCGAACGGGUGAGUAACACGUGAGUAACCUGCCCUUGACUUUGGGAUAACUUCAGGAAACUGGGGCUAAUACCGGAUAGGAGCUCCUGCUGCAUGGUGGGGGUUGGAAAGUUUCGGCGGUUGGGGAUGGACUCGCGGCUUAUCAGCUUGUUGGUGGGGUAGUGGCUUACCAAGGCUUUGACGGGUAGCCGGCCUGAGAGGGUGACCGGCAACAUGGGGACUGAGAUACGGCCCAGACUCCUACGGGAGGCAGCAGUGGGGAAUAUUGCAAAAUGGGCGGAAGCCUGAUGCAGAAACGCCGCGUGCGGGAUGACGGCCUUCGGGUUGUAAACCGCUUUCGCCUGUGACGAAGCGUGAGUGACGGUAAUGGGUAAAGAAGCACCGGCUAACUACGUG